UACGUAGGGCGCAAGCGUUGUCCGGAAUUAUUGGGCGUAAAGAGCUCGUAGGCGGUCUGUUGCGUCCGCUGUGAAAACUCGGGGCUUAACCCCGAGCCUGCAGUGGAUACGGGCAGACUAGAGGUAGGUAGGGGAGAAUGGAAUUCCCGGUGUAGCGGUGAAAUGCGCAGAUAUCGGGAGGAACACCGGUGGCGAAGGCGGUUCUCUGGGCCUGUACUGACGCUGAGGAGCGAAAGCGUGGGGAGCGAACAGG
RNAcentral lists this ribosomal RNA (253 nucleotides) under uncultured bacterium. Its description in RNAcentral is "partial 16S ribosomal RNA". It matches the Rfam family "Bacterial small subunit ribosomal RNA", at positions 524 to 776 of the family's 1533-position model. The record is from RNAcentral.